AACGCGAAGAACCUUACCCAGGCUUGACAUACAGAGGAAGUAAGCAGAGAUGCUAACGCUCUUCGGAGCCUCUGAACAGGUGCUGCAUGGCUGUCGUCAGCUCGUGCCGUGAGGUGUUGGGUUAAGUCCCGCAACGAGCGCAACCCUUAUCGUUAGUUGCCAACAGGUAAAGCUGGGAACUCUAGCGAGACUGCCUGGGUUAACCAGGAGGAAGGUGAGGAUGACGUCAAGUCCGCAUGGCCCUUAUGUCUGGGGCUACACACGUGCUACAAUGGCCGGUACAGAAGGCAGCGAAGCCGCGAGGCGAAGCAAAUCCCAAAAGCCGGCCCCAGUUCAGAUUGCAGUCUGCAACUCGACUGCAUGAAGACGGAAUUGCUAGUAAUGGCGAGUCAGCAACAUCGCCGUGAAUACGUUCCCGGGCCUUGUACACACCGACGCAC
RNAcentral lists this ribosomal RNA (440 nucleotides) under uncultured bacterium. Its description in RNAcentral is "bacterial SSU rRNA". It matches the Rfam family "Bacterial small subunit ribosomal RNA", at positions 958 to 1398 of the family's 1533-position model. The record is from RNAcentral.